Molecule: long non-coding RNA, 626 nt
Organism: Hippocampus comes (tiger tail seahorse)
Lineage: Eukaryota; Metazoa; Chordata; Actinopteri; Syngnathiformes; Syngnathidae
Exons: 3
Source: RefSeq, a predicted model, not a curated record
GAAGAAAUAGGAGUAUUUUGUCCUUCAAGGUUAAAUGAUCCCACAAGUAUCACCAUCACCUUGCCAAAUAUUCACUCUCGUGUCAGUGUUUAUACCUUUGUUCGGUUGAAAAUGUUAAAUUGUGUAUGAGUGGUCCUUUAUCCUCUAUACUCCAUGUAUGUUUUGGUUCCCAUUUUGUUUUUUCACAACGUUUUGCAACAGAGGGACAUGAUAUGCAUGUCUUCGUUGGGUGAGGCUUUUGUUUUGUUUUGAGUGUCUACUUUUCACCAAAUACCUCCCCUAAAGUUUCGGGCAAGUCAUGCCACUGGAGGAGCAACGACACCUGCAACAUUCUUUGACAACAGUCUUGCCUAUGUAGUUUCCAGAGCACCUGAACAUGACAGAGGAGAGCAUCCACAGAAUAGGAAGGAGAAAUCUGGCCUCAGGUUCCACUCAUCUCUCCUCUCUCUGAGUUCUGGUGAACUCAAACACAAUCCAUCACCGCAGAGUAACAGCGAGCAAAGAAGAGAAGUGACAAGUGGGAGAAGCGUGAUGAUGAUAGUCCCAGAAACUGAACUCGUGAUGAAUGCUAGCCUCUCUCUCCAAGCUGCUCAGUACUAUAUGGCUAAAUCAACACUGAGUCAAGU